Molecule: transfer RNA, 71 nt
Filed under: Loxodonta africana (African savanna elephant)
Lineage: Eukaryota; Metazoa; Chordata; Mammalia; Proboscidea; Elephantidae
Rfam family: tRNA
About the family: Transfer RNA (tRNA) molecules are approximately 80 nucleotides in length. Their secondary structure includes four short double-helical elements and three loops (D, anti-codon, and T loops).
Source: Rfam by way of RNAcentral
GCAGUGGUAGUUCAGUGGUAGAAUUCUCCUCUUACAUGUUGGAGACCUGGGUUCGAUUCCUGGCCAAUGUA